UAGGAUGGGGAUGCGUCUGAUUAGGUUGUUGGCGGGGUAACGGCCCACCAAGCCCACGAUCAGUAGGGGUUCUGAGAGGAAGGUCCCCCACAUUGGAACUGAGACACGGUCCAAACUCCUACGGGAGGCAGCAGUGAGGAAUAUUGGUCAAUGGACGGAAGUCUGAACCAGCCAAGUAGCGUGCAGGAUGACGGCCCUAUGGGUUGUAAACUGCUUUUAUAUAGGGAUAAAGUCGGGGACGUGUCCCCGUUUGUAGGUACUAUAUGAAUAAGGACCGGCUAAUUCCGUGCCAGCAGCCGCGGUAAUACGGAAGGUCCGGGCGUUAUCCGGAUUUAUUGGGUUUAAAGGGAGCGCAGGCUGAUGAUUAAGCGUGACGUGAAAUGUAGCCGCUCAACGGCUGAACUGCGUCGCGAACUGGUUAUCUUGAGUGAGUUCGAUGUUGGCGGAAUUCGUGGUGUAGCGGUGAAAUGCUUAGAUAUCACGAAGAACUCCGAUUGCGAAGGCAGCCAACAAGGCCUUUACUGACGCUAAAGCUCGAAGGUGCGGGUAUCGAACAGGAUUAGAUACCCUGGUAGUCCGC
Molecule: ribosomal RNA, 580 nt
Filed under: uncultured rumen bacterium
Lineage: Bacteria
Description: bacterial SSU rRNA
Rfam family: Bacterial small subunit ribosomal RNA
Source: RNAcentral